RNAcentral lists this ribosomal RNA (497 nucleotides) under uncultured bacterium. RNAcentral's name for it is "partial 16S ribosomal RNA". It matches the Rfam family "Bacterial small subunit ribosomal RNA", at positions 28 to 507 of the family's 1533-position model. The record is from RNAcentral.
GAUGAACGCUGGCGGCGUGCCUAAUACAUGCAAGUCGAGCGAACGGACGAGAAGCUUGCUUCUCUGAUGUUAGCGGCGGACGGGUGAGUAACACGUGGAUAACCUACCUAUAAGACUGGGAUAACUUCGGGAAACCGGAGCUAAUACCGGAUAAUAUUUUGAACCGCAUGGUUCAAAAGUGAAAGACGGUCUUGCUGUCACUUAUAGAUGGAUCCGCGCUGCAUUAGCUAGUUGGUAAGGUAACGGCUUACCAAGGCAACGAUGCAUAGCCGACCUGAGAGGGUGAGCAGCCACACUAGAACUGAGACACGGUCCAGACUCCUACGGGAGGCAGCAGUAGGGAGUCUUCCGCAAUGGGGGAAGGCCUGACGGAGCAACGCCGCGUGAGUGAUGAAGGUCUUCGGAUCGUAAAACUCUGUUAUUAGGGAAGAACAUAUGUGUAAGUAACUGUGCACAUCUUGACGGUACCUAAUCAGAAAGCCACGGCUAACUACGUG